CCCUUAGAUGUCCUGGGCUGCACGCGCGCUACACUGAUGCAUCCAACAAGUAUUCCUGUCCUGAAAAGGUUGGGUAAUCUCUAAAAAUGCAUCGUGAUGGGGAUAGAUUAUUGCAAUUAUUAAUCUUCAACGAGGAACUCCUAGUAAGUGCAAGUCAUCAGCUUGCGCUGAUUACGUCCCUGCCUAUUGUACACACCGCCCGUCGCUCCUACCGAUUGAAUGAUCCGAUGAAUAUCAUGGAUUGAGGAUGCAAGCAGGUUCGCCUGUCUUCAUCUUCGAGAAGUGAAGUAAAUCUUAUCAUUUAUAGGAAGGAGAAGUCGUAACA
Molecule: ribosomal RNA, 325 nt
Filed under: uncultured eukaryote
Lineage: Eukaryota
Description: partial 18S ribosomal RNA
Rfam family: Eukaryotic small subunit ribosomal RNA
Source: RNAcentral